UGCCUACGGGUGGCUGCAGUGAGGAAUAUUGGUCAAUGGGCGGAAGCCUGAACCAGCCAUGCCGCGUGCAGGAUGACGGCCCUACGGGUUGUAAACUGCUUUUCCCCGGGAAGAAUAAGCCCCUCGUGAGGGGUGAUGCCGGUACCGGGGGAAUAAGGAUCGGCUAACUCCGUGCCAGCAGCCGCGGUAAUACGGAGGAUCCGAGCGUUAUCCGGAUUUACUGGGUUUAAAGGGUGCGUAGGCGGGCGCCGAAGUCAGCGGUGAAAUGCAGCGGCGCAACCGUUGAACUGCCGUUGAAACUGGGCGCCUUGGAUGCGGUCGAGGCCGGCGGAAGGCGUGGUGUAGCGGUGAAAUGCUUAGAUAUCACGCAGAACGCCAAUUGCGAAGGCAGCUGGCCGGGCCGCAAUCGACGCUGAGGCACGAAAGCGUGGGGAUCAAACAGGAUUAGAUACCCUAGUAGUC
RNAcentral lists this ribosomal RNA (462 nucleotides) under uncultured bacterium. RNAcentral describes it as "bacterial SSU rRNA". It matches the Rfam family "Bacterial small subunit ribosomal RNA", at positions 335 to 795 of the family's 1533-position model. The record is from RNAcentral.